RNAcentral lists this long non-coding RNA (225 nucleotides) under Homo sapiens (human). Its description in RNAcentral is "non-protein coding lnc-TLX3-6:1". The record is from RNAcentral. Lineage: Eukaryota; Metazoa; Chordata; Mammalia; Primates; Hominidae.
UGGAAUAUGCUGUUUUUAAUGGUUAUUCAUAUAUUCUUUGGAUUCCUUUCUAAAAUAAGCCAUUGUUAAAAGAUGGAUAUACAUUACCCAGUGGGCUCUUCUUCCCCUUUAGGUGUAGAAAUGCCUUCCAUGAAGACUAACUGGGAAUUGAGAUGAUCAUAAAUAUUGGGAUUUUAUUAAGUUUGCUAGUAGUUUGUUCACAUUGUUUUUCCAGCAAUUUUAGAA